Non-coding RNA from Acanthosepion pharaonis, 111 nucleotides. The record is from the annotation of a GenBank genome assembly. NCBI's taxonomy places the organism in Eukaryota, Metazoa, Mollusca, Cephalopoda, Sepiida, Sepiidae.
AUGGCCAUAUCAUAUUGAAAUAUCAGUUCUCAUACGAUCACUGAAGUUAAGCAAUGUCUAGCUUGGCCAGUACCUAGAUAGGUAACCACUUGGAAAUACCAAGUACUGUAA